GUCCUGGCCCUAACGAUGAAUACUUGGUGUCUGGAGUUUAAUGCUCCGGGUGCCGUCGCUAACGUUUAGUAUUCCGCCUGGGAGUACGCUCGCAAGAGUGAAACUCAAAGGAAUUGACGGGACCCGCACAAGCGGUGGAGCAUGUGGUUUAAUUCGACGCAACGCGAAGAACCUUACCUGGACUAGAAUGUGAGGGAAUAUCGGGUAAUGCCGAUAGUCCGGGAAACCGGACCCAAACAAGGUGCUGCAUGGCUGUCGU
This 259-nucleotide ribosomal RNA is filed under the name uncultured bacterium. RNAcentral describes it as "partial 16S ribosomal RNA". It matches the Rfam family "Bacterial small subunit ribosomal RNA", at positions 793 to 1055 of the family's 1533-position model. The record is from RNAcentral.